GCGUCGCUGUUCCCCUUCCUUUUAUUAUUUAUUAUCAUUUAAAGGGGCCGCGACUUGAAAAUUUCCGUCCAGUCUUCCCCCCCCUCCCCAACAGCCCCGGGGCCGGUGGCGCGUCGCCGGACCGAGCGCGGGGCGCGAGGGGGCUUCGGGGAAGGGGGAGGGGGCCUCCCGAGACCCCUCCCCGCGUCCCGGGCCGCGGCGCUGAAUCACCGGCGAGGGCUUCUCCGAGCCUCGCUUCCUCGUCUGUAAAAUGGAGACCCGCGGGCGCCCCCGUCCUUAACCGCCCCGGCCCCACCGGGCGCCCCCUUAGCCGUCACAGCCUCGCGGCGUCCCUGCUGAGCACAGAGAGGUUUCUGCGAACACGUGAAUGAGCCGCAUGCCAGCCGCUGCCCCGGCCUGAGAAGGAGGCGCCCCCCCGCCCGCCCGGCGCUGGCAUGCCCGCCAGCCCUCCGCCUGAGCCCGGCGGCCC
Molecule: non-coding RNA, 469 nt
Organism: Equus caballus (horse)
Lineage: Eukaryota; Metazoa; Chordata; Mammalia; Perissodactyla; Equidae
Source: RefSeq, a predicted model, not a curated record